GACUACCGUUGUGGUUAGUACGACUGCCUGCGACGCAGAAGGUUCCGGGUUCAAUUCCCGGUGGGGUCA
Molecule: non-coding RNA, 69 nt
Organism: Phthorimaea operculella (potato tuberworm)
Lineage: Eukaryota; Metazoa; Arthropoda; Insecta; Lepidoptera; Gelechiidae
Source: the annotation of a GenBank genome assembly